AGUGAACGCUGGCGGUAGGCCUAACACAUGCAAGUCGAACGGCAGCACAGUAAGAGCUUGCUCUUACGGGUGGCGAGUGGCGGACGGGUGAGGAAUACAUCGGAAUCUACUUUUUCGGGGGGGAUAACGUAGGGAAACUUACGCUAAUACCGCAUACGACCUACGGGUGAAAGCAGGGGAUCUUCGGACCUUGCGGGAUUGAAUGAGCCGAUGUCGGAUUAGCUAGUUGGCGGGGUAAAGGCCCACCAAGGCGACGAUCCGUAGCUGGUCUGAGAGGAUGAUCAGCCACACUGGAACUGAGACACGGUCCAGACUCCUACGGGAGGCAGUAGUGGGGAAUAUUGGACAAUGGGCGCAAGCCUGAUCCAGCCAUACCGCGUGGGUGAAGAAGGCCUUCGGGUUGUAAAGCCCUUUUGUUGGGAAAGAACAGCAGCAGGUUAAUACCCCGCUGUUCUGACGGUACCCAAAGAAUAAGCACCGGCUAACUUCGUG
This 492-nucleotide ribosomal RNA is filed under the name uncultured bacterium. Its description in RNAcentral is "partial 16S ribosomal RNA". It matches the Rfam family "Bacterial small subunit ribosomal RNA", at positions 29 to 507 of the family's 1533-position model. The record is from RNAcentral.